This 65-nucleotide transfer RNA is filed under the name Hydroporus kasyi. RNAcentral describes it as "tRNA-Asn". The record is from RNAcentral. Lineage: Eukaryota; Metazoa; Arthropoda; Insecta; Coleoptera; Dytiscidae.
UUAAUUGAAGCCAAAAAGAGGCAUAUUACUGUUAAUAAUAUAAAUGAAUAAUUAUUCCAAUUAAA